RNAcentral lists this ribosomal RNA (468 nucleotides) under uncultured bacterium. Its description in RNAcentral is "partial 16S ribosomal RNA". It matches the Rfam family "Bacterial small subunit ribosomal RNA", at positions 28 to 507 of the family's 1533-position model. The record is from RNAcentral.
GACGAACGCUGGCGGCGUGCUUAACACAUGCAAGUCGAACGGAAAGGCCCUGCUUUUGUGGGGUGCUCGAGUGGCGAACGGGUGAGUAACACGUGAGUAACCUGCCCUUGACUUUGGGAUAACUUCAGGAAACUGGGGCUAAUACCGGAUAGGAGCUCCUGCUGCAUGGUGGGGGUUGGAAAGUUUCGGCGGUUGGGGAUGGACUCGCGGCUUAUCAGCUUGUUGGUGGGGUAGUGGCGUACCAAGGCUUUGACGGGUAGCCGGCCUGAGAGGGUGACCGGCCACAUUGGGACUGAGAGACGGCCCAGAAUCCUACGGGAGGCAGCAGUGGGGAAUAUUGCACAAUGGGCGGAAGCCUGAUGCAGCAACGCCGCGUGCGGGAUGACGGCCUUCGGGUUGUGAACCGCUUUCGCCUGUGACGAGGCGUGAGUGACGGUAAUGGGUAAAGAAGCACCGGCUAACUACGUG